This 253-nucleotide ribosomal RNA is filed under the name uncultured bacterium. RNAcentral's name for it is "partial 16S ribosomal RNA". It matches the Rfam family "Bacterial small subunit ribosomal RNA", at positions 524 to 776 of the family's 1533-position model. The record is from RNAcentral.
UACGGAGGGUGCAAGCGUUAUCCGGAUUCACUGGGUUUAAAGGGUGCGUAGGCGGGUAAGUAAGUCCGGGGUGAAAUCUCUGAGCUUAACUCAGAAACUGCCGUGGAUACUAUUUGCCUUGAAUAUUGUGGAGGUGAGCGGAAUAUGUCAUGUAGCGGUGAAAUGCUUAGAUAUGACGUAGAACACCAAUUGCGAAGGCAGCUCACUACACAAUCAUUGACGCUGAGGCACGAAAGCGUGGGGAUCAAACAGG